GACGAACGCUGGCGGCGUGCCUAAUACAUGCAAGUCGAACGCUUCUUUCCUCCCGAGUGCUUGCACUCAAUUGGAAAGAGGAGUGGCGGACGGGUGAGUAACACGUGGGUAACCUACCCAUCAGAGGGGGAUAACACUUGGAAACAGGUGCUAAUACCGCAUAACAGUUUAUGCCGCAUGGCAUAAGAGUGAAAGGCGCUUUCGGGUGUCGCUGAUGGAUGGACCCGCGGUGCAUUAGCUAGUUGGUGAGGUAACGGCACACCAAGGCCACGAUGCAUAGCCGACCUGAGAGGGUGAUCGGCCACACUGGGACUGGGACACGGCCCAGACUCCUACGGGAGGCAGCAGUAGGGAAUCUUCGGCAAUGGACGAAAGUCUGACCGAGCAACGCCGCGUGAGUGCAGAAGGUUUUCGGAUCGUAAAACUCUGUUGUUAGAGAAGAACAAGGACGUUAGUAACUGAACGUCCCCUGACGGUAUCUAACCAGAAAGCCACGGCUAACUACGUGC
RNAcentral lists this ribosomal RNA (509 nucleotides) under uncultured bacterium. Its description in RNAcentral is "partial 16S ribosomal RNA". It matches the Rfam family "Bacterial small subunit ribosomal RNA", at positions 28 to 508 of the family's 1533-position model. The record is from RNAcentral.